GGUGGGUUGGCCGAGAGGUUAGGCACCGGUCUGCAAAACCGUUUACACCGGUUCGAAUCCGGUACUCACCU
RNAcentral lists this transfer RNA (71 nucleotides) under Gleimia coleocanis DSM 15436. RNAcentral's name for it is "Actinomyces coleocanis DSM 15436 tRNA". It matches the Rfam family "tRNA". Rfam says of the family: Transfer RNA (tRNA) molecules are approximately 80 nucleotides in length. Their secondary structure includes four short double-helical elements and three loops (D, anti-codon, and T loops). Further hydrogen bonds mediate the characteristic L-shaped molecular structure. tRNAs have two regions of fundamental functional importance: the anti-codon, which is responsible for specific mRNA codon recognition, and the 3' end, to which the tRNAs corresponding amino acid is attached (by aminoacyl-tRNA synthetases). tRNAs cope with the degeneracy of the genetic code in two manners: having more than one tRNA (with a specific anti-codon) for a particular amino acid; and 'wobble' base-pairing, i.e. permitting non-standard base-pairing at the 3rd anti-codon position. Lineage: Bacteria; Bacillati; Actinomycetota; Actinomycetes; Actinomycetales; Actinomycetaceae. RNAcentral also lists the same sequence under 2 other names. The record is from Rfam by way of RNAcentral.